Molecule: ribosomal RNA, 674 nt
Filed under: uncultured bacterium
Lineage: Bacteria
Description: bacterial SSU rRNA
Rfam family: Bacterial small subunit ribosomal RNA
Source: RNAcentral
GCCUUCUGGACUGACACUGACACUGAGGUGCGAAAGCGUGGGUAGCAAACAGGAUUAGAUACCCUGGUAGUCCACGCCGUAAACGAUGUCGACCAGCCGUUGGGUGCCUCGCGCACUUAGUGGCGAAGUUAACGCGAUAAGUCGACCGCCUGGGGAGUACGGCCGCAAGGUUAAAACUCAAAUGAAUUGACGGGGGCCCGCACAAGCGGUGGAGCAUGUGGUUUAAUUCGAUGCAACGCGAAGAACCUUACCUACUCUUGACAUCCUGCGAACUUGUGAGAGAUCACUUGGUGCCUUCGGGAGCGCAGAGACAGGUGCUGCAUGGCUGUCGUCAGCUCGUGUUGUGAAAUGUUGGGUUAAGUCCCGUAACGAGCGCAACCCUUGUCCUUAUUUGCCAGCGGGUAAUGCCGGGAACUCUAAGGAGACUGCCGGUGACAAACCGGAGGAAGGUGGGGACGACGUCAAGUCAUCAUGGCCCUUACGAGUAGGGCUACACACGUGCUACAAUGGCCGGUACAAAGGGUUGCGAGCUCGCGAGAGUCAGCUAAUCCCGAAAAGCCGGUCUCAGUCCGGAUCGGAGUCUGCAACUCGACUCCGUGAAGUCGGAAUCGCUAGUAAUCGUGAAUCAGAAUGUCACGGUGAAUACGUUCCCGGGCCUUGUACACACCGCCCGU